CCUACGGGAGGCAGCAGUGGGGGAUAUUGCACAAUGGGGGGAACCCUGAUGCAGCGACGCCGCGUGGGUGAAGAAGCGCCUCGGCGCGUAAAGCCCUGUCAGCAGGGAAGAAAAUGACGGUACCUGAAGAAGAAGCCCCGGCUAACGACGUGCCAGCAGCCGCGGUAAUACGAAGGGGGCAAGCGUUAUCCGGAUUUACUGGGGGGAAAGGGGGCGCAGACGGCGAUGCAAGCCAGGAGUGAAAGCCCGGGGCCCAACCCCGGGACUGCUCUUGGAACUGCGUGGCUGGAGUGCAGGAGGGGCAGGCGGAAUUCCUGGUGUAGCGGUGAAAUGCGUAGAUAUCAGGAGGAACACCGGUGGCGAAGGCGGCCUGCUGGACUGCAACUGACGUUGAGGCCCGAAAGCGUGGGGAGCAAACAGGAUUAGAUACCCUUGUAGUC
RNAcentral lists this ribosomal RNA (440 nucleotides) under uncultured bacterium. RNAcentral's name for it is "partial 16S ribosomal RNA". It matches the Rfam family "Bacterial small subunit ribosomal RNA", at positions 338 to 795 of the family's 1533-position model. The record is from RNAcentral.